AUUACACCAAAGUGGGCCAGUCCAUAGAUUCGGCCCACACAUCUUCCACACCCGUUUAAACAUUAAACACCGAACUCUAUCGUCCGGUAUCUCCCUAUUCUCUAGGCACAUCAAUCAGUGUUGUAAUCUUAAUAAGCUUUUGGUCCGAGGCUUUGGAUUGAAAGUGCUACAAUGGCGCCUGUGAGAACCACAGGCACUAUUGUGGCUACUGCUGUUGCUAUCUCAAUCUCAAUGGCGGUGCUCUCUUACUUUUGGUCAGAUACCAACUUGCCAUUCCAAAGACGAAGAAUUAGAAGUUCAGAACUGGGCCUACUGAUGCCAUUGGAAACGCACCUUUGAUUCGCAUCAACAGCCUUUCUGAAGUCACUGGUUCCGAGAAAUGGUGGCUUGAAGAAAUCGGGUGCAGAUGUUAGGACGGCUUGGUGGUGGAGUUCCAGAUUGUCCACAACCUUCUGUCCCCUACCCCGGUUGUUUAGUGAUGAGGUCAGAUGGAUCCUCCCAGGUGAUGACUUCUAUAAGAUAAACAUCAAUGUGGCAGUGUUCAAGCAACACAAUGAAGCAGAGAUUGGGGUUAGUGUUGGUUUUUAUUUUCUUUGCAUUCGUGGCUCUAUGCAGGCUUUGAAAUCUGGGAAACUAGCUCAACGGGAAUGAAAGAUCUUCAAUCUAAUUCAAGUAAUUAUUUCAUUUUACUGUAAAUAUGAUUCUUAGAGCAUCUUUCAAGAAAAAAUAUUAACUUUGAAUGCUACCUUUGAGCCACUGAACUUGGAAGCCUUUUGAAAAUCAACUAAGGUUGUUCUUCCAGUUGAUGUGCCUAAAACAUUUGGAUUUUUAACAAUCUGAAUCUGUUGCAGGAUUAUUAA
Long non-coding RNA from Quercus robur (English oak), 860 nucleotides. RefSeq lists it as uncharacterized. NCBI's taxonomy places the organism in Eukaryota, Viridiplantae, Streptophyta, Magnoliopsida, Fagales, Fagaceae. The record is from RefSeq and is a predicted model, not a curated record. The transcript is spliced from 2 exons.